UACGUAGGUGGCAAGCGUUGUCCGGAAUUAUUGGGCGUAAAGCGCGCGCAGGCGGUCCUUUAAGUCUGAUGUGAAAGCCCACGGCUUAAACGUGGAGGGUCAUUGGAAACUGGUCGACUUGAGUGCAGAAGAGGGAAGUGGAAUUCCAUGUGUAGCGGUGAAAUGCGUAGAGAUAUGGAGGAACACCAGUGGCGAAGGCGGCUUCCUGGUCUGUAACUGACACUGAGGCGCGAAAGCGUGGGGAGCAAACAGGAUUAGAUACCCUGGUA
RNAcentral lists this ribosomal RNA (269 nucleotides) under uncultured prokaryote. RNAcentral describes it as "partial 16S ribosomal RNA". It matches the Rfam family "Bacterial small subunit ribosomal RNA", at positions 524 to 792 of the family's 1533-position model. The record is from RNAcentral.